Molecule: long non-coding RNA, 1807 nt
Organism: Panthera uncia (snow leopard)
Lineage: Eukaryota; Metazoa; Chordata; Mammalia; Carnivora; Felidae
Exons: 3
Source: RefSeq, a predicted model, not a curated record
GGGACGGGGGGGGUAGGUGGCUGGUGCUCUUGUAUCCCGGGCCACCCGAUGCGUGGGGGCCAGUCCGGGGCUGGAGCCCUGUGGGACCCGCAGCCAGGAGCAGGAUGUCCUUGUGUCCUCAGUGAGAAAAUUGCAAUGUGGCUGUUUUCAGACUGCUGCUGGAUGGCCCGGCCUAGACCACCGUGCCUCCAGGGCAAUCCGGUCACAUCUGUGUCCUCUGCUCAGCAGGCCAUCUUCGACCGUUUGGGCUGCCAUGACAGAAGACCACGGACCGGGGGCUUGUAAGCCACGGAGAGUUAUUGUUCACGGUUCUGGAGGCACCAGCAGAUGCGGCGUCUGGUGGGGCCUGCUUGCCUCUUAGCUCAGAGACACCAUCUCCUCGCUUUUCCCCCCAUGCUGGAAGGGGCGAGAGCUCUCCCGGGGCUCUUUCAUAAGGGCAUUAAUCCAGGUGGCCGGGGGGGGGGGGUCGGUGCUCAGUCGACUCUUGGCUUUGGCUCAGGUCACGAUCUCGGGGUACGUGGGAUCGAGCUCCAAGUCGGGCUCUGCUCUGACAGCUGGGAGCCUGCUUGGGAUUCUCUCUCUGCCCCUCCCACACUUGUGCACGUGAGGGCGCGCGCGCUCUCAAAAUAAACAUUGAAAAUAAAACAAAAUCUUUAGGCGUGUCUGGGUGACCCAGUCAGUUGAGCGAUCGACUUCAGCUCAGGUCAUCAUCUCGUGGUUCGUGAGUUCGAGCCCCGCGUGGGGCUCUGUGCUGACAGCUCAGAGCCUGGAGCCUGCUUCGGAUUCUGUGUCUCCCUCUAUCUCUGCUCUCUCUCUCUCAAAAACAAAUAAACCUUAAAAAAUUAAAUAAAACCUUUUUAAAAAUCUUCUUUUGAAUGAUAAAAGACACGCCUGUGACUUGGGAAAUCCCAAGGGUUUUAAGAGCUCCGUACCAGGAACUGGGGACAGAGACCAAAUAUAUUUCUCAUCAAACCACAGGGACCUUGUUUGGAAAUAAGGGCUUUGCAGAUGUAAUUCAGGUAAGGGCAGGGAUGAGAUCAUACUGCAUUGGGGAGGGGGGUGGGCUAAAUCCAGGCGAAGUGUCCUCGUAAGAGAAAGAGACACAGGGACAAGGCCAGGUGAAGACAGAGACAGAGGCACAGUGAUGUAGCCACAAGUCAAGGAACGCCUAAGGGUUGCCAGCAACCACCGAGAGCUGGACGGGAGAUAUGGAUGGACAGCUUCUCCUUCAGGACCUUCGGUGAGAGCCGCCCCGCCCAUACCUUGACUUCCGGACUUCUUGCCUCCUGAGUUGUGAGACAAGAAAUUUCUGUUGUUUUAAGCCACUCAGUCUGCGGCGGUUCGUUACAGCUCUCCUAGGAGAGUAAUAUUGCUACUAUUUAAUGUUUUUAAAGCCAUCUGUUCUCCUUUUUCUACUUAUGUGUGUUUUUUAAUCAUUUUUUUUUAAAGAAUUUUCUUUUUUUGAAACAGCGCAUUUAUUUCGCGCGCGUAAGAGAGAGCGCACGAGCCGGAGAGGGGCAGAGAGAGAGAGGGAGAGAGAGAAUCCCAAGCAAGCUCCCCGUGGUCAGCGAGGAGCCCGACACAGGGCUGGAACUCACGAACUGUGAGAUCGUGACCCGAGGUGAAAUCAAGAGUCCGAUGCUUGACGGACUGAGCCACCCAGGUGCCCCUCCCUUUGUGUGUUUCACCACUCUAAGCACCGGUCUCUAAGAUGCUGGCGUUGCUCUGUAGGUGAGGCUUUUCCAAAUGCAAGGUGACAUAAGACACGGGCUGAGCGUCGUGUCCUCGUCCUCCUCCUUCCGGUUGC